Molecule: ribosomal RNA, 489 nt
Filed under: Triticum aestivum (bread wheat)
Lineage: Eukaryota; Viridiplantae; Streptophyta; Magnoliopsida; Poales; Poaceae
Description: partial small subunit ribosomal RNA
Source: RNAcentral
AUGUUGCAAAAUGUCUGGACAUGUCAAUUGAUAUUUUAUAUAAAAACAUCUAGCACUUCCUCUUUUGCAACAUGUCGAUUUAUAUUAUGCUAUAUCAUACUAAAUCAUGCUGAUACUUGCAUUAUGGGGCUUAACCUUCUGAGGCUAUUGGCCCAAAAUAGAACUGCGGAGUUCCACACUGAGCUGGAGCCUCUGCCCGCCAAGGUGCUGGAGAAUCAUUGCAUCAAGCAUGCGGUUGAUCUCGAGCAGUCCCUUAUGGAGGGCGCCUACAACUACGUGUUGAGUGCUCGACAAGCUGUGCCGCAUGAAAGUUACGAAUACUUCAUGGACCUUCUAGCCAAAAGAGUAGAACACCCCGAGUGGGAUGUUAGGAACGGUCGGGUCUUCUUCCAGAAGGCGAUGGAGUCUCAGCCCUGUAAGGAGACACCGGCGGUGCCCUCCAUCAACAAGACCCUCGGCUAUGCGAAGGAAUUGGAAAGGACAGUGUGA